Molecule: ribosomal RNA, 255 nt
Filed under: uncultured bacterium
Lineage: Bacteria
Description: partial 16S ribosomal RNA
Rfam family: Bacterial small subunit ribosomal RNA
Source: RNAcentral
UACGUAGGGCGCAAGCGUUUGUCCGGAAUUAUUGGGCGUAAAGAGCUCGUAGGCGGCUUGUCGCGUCGAAUGUGAAAACCUGCAGCUCAACUGCAGGCUUGCAUUCGAUACGGGCAGGCUAGAGUUCGGUAGGGGAGAUCGGAAUUCCUGGUGUAGCGGUGAAAUGACGCAGAUAUCAGGAGGAACACCGGUGGCGAAGGCGGAUCUCUGGGCCGAUACUGACGCUGAGGAGCGAAAGCGUGGGGAGCGAACAGG